GCGAGCGCUCGGGACGGAGCGGGACGGGAAGGGAAGGGACGGGACGGCGCUUCGCUCGCUGUCGCGCCCAGCCUUCCUACUUCUCUCUGAGAAAAACCUUCGAAAGCGCCGGGUCGCAGUGCGCGGGGUCGGUAACUCGGUUCCGCGAGCUGCGCGGCGAAUAAAAGAGCAAAAACCCGCCACUUUUAACCCGGUUUUCGGCAGUCCCCCGCUGCCAAGAGGGGACGUUGACCCCGCCCGAACUUACAAAAGAACACCGGACCUCUUGCUGUCCAUCUGAACAACACCUGGAAGUUGCAGUAAACGAUGUGCCUUACAUGCGGGUUGUGAAAUGCGCGUGAUUUCUCGCAGCAGUGAUGAUUCUGUGUGUGGCUGAUAAACACACAGCCCCAUGCGGAGCACACUCUCGGACACACAGCUUUAUGUAAGGAGAAGCAAGCAUACAGAAGUUCUGCUGAAACUGGCUAUCUUCAGAUUAGGGUUCAGAUGGUGAGCUCAAUAUCUGGUGCCCAGGGGAGUCCAGCUUUUGGACAGGAACUGAAGAAACAUCGUGUGGAUGACUUGCAUGUAUGACAUGAUCCAUAGUCAGGCAUGUUGAUGACCGGGUUCUUACUUGGAUCUUACUUCUGCAUCUUUGGUUCAGCAUCACUCAGCCCUGUGCUGUCAACUCAGUGUGUGAAACAUCAUGAGAUGCUGCAUUUCUUGGUAGAAGCAAAUGUCAAGGCAGAAAAAUUAAGGGAAAGAUGUAGGGUGCAGUUUUCAAAUACUUCAGACUGCGUGAAUAAAUAGGUUUUUUUCCAAAAGAAACACAUCCAUGUCGUGACCAAAAGCUAUAUUACAAACCUGUAUUUGCCAAAAUAAGAUUAAAAGUUUUGCCUCAAUUUGACUCAUUUAUAUAUUAAUGUGCUGUUUGCGUAAAUCAGAAAUAGUUAUGUCUGUUCUACCAUACCAGCUUCAACAUACAUUAAAAAAUGAUGACAGUUAUUUCAACUACAAAAUGAAGAAAGAGGAUUUAACUUCACUGCAUUUUCUUCUAGACAAGCAGGCAUUUUUCUUACACUGAGAAUGCCGGUGUGUCAUUGCAUAGCAAUCCACAGGAAUUACGAGGCAUCUAAUGUUCCUGUUCACUGAAGUAAACGUUGAUUGUGCAACCAUCAGUUUGCUGUGAACUUCUCUACUUUAUUUUGCAGAUUAUGGCAUAGUUAUAUCAGGGAUAAGUUCUUCAUCACUUGGUUGUUCUUAUAAAACACAACCCGGGUUUUACCAUUUUAAAUGCUUACCGUAUAAUAUUCAAUACAUCUAAAGGCAUGCGAGUAAAUAUUUUUCUUCUAACUUCAUUGCCAGCAAUGAAGAAGUAUUUUUCACAGAAAGCAAUGCUGAAUUGUAUGUAUGUAGAAUACGAUCAAGCUGUUUAUGUAGACAUGGAUGUAAGGGAAUGUGUUGAUGUAAUUGGUAUCAUGAGGUUCUGAAGGACAUACACACAAGCACGCUGUUUCACCUUAUUUUCAUUGCUUCUUCCUUAAAUAACUCUUCUUCUGUGUAUUUUCAUUCCGGAGGAUAAUUUGUAAAACCAUAUCCCUGAAUA
Molecule: long non-coding RNA, 1585 nt
Organism: Lagopus muta (rock ptarmigan)
Lineage: Eukaryota; Metazoa; Chordata; Aves; Galliformes; Phasianidae
Exons: 2
Source: RefSeq, a predicted model, not a curated record